AGGGAUGUAGCGCAGCUCGGUAGCGCGUUUGUUUUGGGUACAAACGGCCGCAGGUUCGAAUCCUGUCAUCCCUA
This is a transfer RNA of Selaginella moellendorffii, 74 nucleotides long. It matches the Rfam family "tRNA". Rfam says of the family: Transfer RNA (tRNA) molecules are approximately 80 nucleotides in length. Their secondary structure includes four short double-helical elements and three loops (D, anti-codon, and T loops). Lineage: Eukaryota; Viridiplantae; Streptophyta; Lycopodiopsida; Selaginellales; Selaginellaceae. The record is from Rfam.